CUCAGCCGCAAUUGGCCCAAUUGCGCUGGCUAAGCUAAGCAGGGUUGAGCUGGUCAGUACCUGGAUGGGAGACCUCCUGAGAAAACUAGGUUGCUGCUGGAA
RNAcentral lists this ribosomal RNA (102 nucleotides) under Sinocyclocheilus grahami. The record is from RNAcentral. Lineage: Eukaryota; Metazoa; Chordata; Actinopteri; Cypriniformes; Cyprinidae.